UGGGGAAUAUUGCACAAUGGGCGCAAGCCUGAUGCAGCCAUGCCGCGUGUAUGAAGAAGGCCUUCGGGUUGUAAAGUACUUUCAGCGAGGAGGAAGGCGUUGUGGUUAAUAACCGCAGCGAUUGACGUUACUCGCAGAAGAAGCACCGGCUAACUCCGUGCCAGCAGCCGCGGUAAUACGGAGGGGGCAAGCGUUAAUCGGAAUUACUGGGUGUAAAGCGCACGCAGGCGCUCUGUCAAGUCGGAUGUGAAAUCCCCGGGCUCAACCUGGGAACUGCAUCCGAAACUGGCAGGCUAGAGUCUUGUAGAGGGGGGUAGAAUUCCAGGUGUAGCGGUGAAAUGCGUAGAGAUCUGGAGGAAUACCGGUGGCGAAGGCGGCCCCCUGGACAAAGACUGACGCUCAGGUGCGAAAGCGUGGGGAGCAAACA
RNAcentral lists this ribosomal RNA (427 nucleotides) under uncultured bacterium. Its description in RNAcentral is "partial 16S ribosomal RNA". It matches the Rfam family "Bacterial small subunit ribosomal RNA", at positions 355 to 774 of the family's 1533-position model. The record is from RNAcentral.